UACCAACACUAUAUGCACCAACUUACUUCACUGUAGCAAUUAUUAUGGAGAAAAACACGACGCCUAGAAAAUUUAAGGGAAAGUAGCUUGUCAAUAGGGCGAAAGACAAGCAAAGAUAUUCGUAAAUUACUACUUAAAUAUUUAGUUUGAUAACUAGCUAGAUUGAUCUUGUUUAAAUAAUAUUUAAGCUAAUUUUGAACACUUUGGGUUUGCAAAAACAAAGAGAAGUUCUACCCCAUCCAAAAACAAGCUUGUCCAAGCACGGUCUAUUUAGCAAAUUAGUCGAAGAUCUGCACGUUGCAC
Molecule: long non-coding RNA, 303 nt
Filed under: Elaeis guineensis (African oil palm)
Lineage: Eukaryota; Viridiplantae; Streptophyta; Magnoliopsida; Arecales; Arecaceae
Description: long non-coding RNA (EGUI_LNC003220)
Source: RNAcentral